Molecule: ribosomal RNA, 428 nt
Filed under: uncultured bacterium
Lineage: Bacteria
Description: partial 16S ribosomal RNA
Rfam family: Bacterial small subunit ribosomal RNA
Source: RNAcentral
GUAGGGAAUAUUGCACAAUGGAGGAAACUCUGAUGCAGCGACGCCGCGUGAGUGAUGAAGGCCUUCGGGUCGUAAAGCUCUGUCGCAGGGGAAUAACACAAUGAAGGUACCCUGUAAGAAAGGAUCGGCUAACUUCGUGCCAGCAGCCGCGGUAAGACGAGGGAUCCUAGCGUUGUUCGGAAUCAUUGGGCGUAAAGCGGAUGUAGGUGGCUAUGUAAGUCAGAUGUGAGAGCCUGGGGCUCAACCCCAGAAGUGCAUUUGAUACUGCGUAGCUUGAGUGUCGGAGAGGUUACUAGAAUUGUUGGUGUAGUGGUGAAAUACGUAGAUAUCAACAGGAAUACCGGAGGCGAAGGCGGGUAACUGGCCGAACACUGACACUGAGAUCCGAAAGCGUGGGGAUCAAACAGGAUUAGAUACCCUUGUAGUCC